CGACAGCUUCUGGACACGUGGGGCAAACAAGACAAUGGCGACGCAAACAUGACGACGAAGCAUUAAGGCGUUCCACGGCAAUUCUACGACGUGUGCGCGCACGUAGUCCAAUGAGGGAUGCGAUGACGAGAACGACGAAGUACGUUAUGGAGUCGCAUCGCAAUUGGGCUACGCGUGCGAAACGUGUGGUCGAAAAGGAUGUUGACGAGCGAAGAAGUCGUAGCCCGAGGAAAGACAGAACAGCCACCAGUCAAAGCUAAGGACAGUGGGCAAGGCGGAUGCACCUGGAGACUCAACCGACCGGAUCCAAUGACCAACCUAGCCAGCCGGGAACCGCUAAAUGCGAGCGUGGUCCGUGGUCGCUUGGAAAGAGCCUGCCACCACAGACUCGCUGCCCAAAUUUAGGGAGGCUGCAAGAGCGACGCCAACUGUGCGCCAGUCGUGGCCGUAGGUAGGUGCCUGGGACAACCGCUAGGCAGCCUUUACCCACGGACCCGGUAGGCGUCCUUACCGCCACCCGCUAACUUCGAGCCACUUCGAGCCACUUCGAGCCAUCGGAAGGCACUGCUACUCACAGCCAAAUUCAGUAGCAGUAGACGCGCCACCGUGCGCAGGUCUGCUCCUUACCUUGAUAUCGUCCAUGGAACCACUGGAAGGACGUAUUCAUCGCUAUGCCUGGAGGAUACCUGGCGGAAACGCUACCCUGAGGUGCAGCAGUGCUCAAUUACUCACUCAGAGGCCAUACCAAUUUCUUACGAGACUAUUAAAAGUCAUAAAGCCACAA
This is a long non-coding RNA of Dermacentor albipictus, 784 nucleotides long. RefSeq lists it as uncharacterized. The record is from RefSeq and is a predicted model, not a curated record. NCBI's taxonomy places the organism in Eukaryota, Metazoa, Arthropoda, Arachnida, Ixodida, Ixodidae.